Molecule: ribosomal RNA, 467 nt
Filed under: uncultured bacterium
Lineage: Bacteria
Description: partial 16S ribosomal RNA
Rfam family: Bacterial small subunit ribosomal RNA
Source: RNAcentral
GACGAACGCUGGCGGCGUGCUUAACACAUGCAAGUCGAACGGAAAGGCCCUGCUUUUGUGGGGUGCUCGAGUGGCGAACGGGUGAGUAACACGUGAGUAACCUGCCCUUGACUUUGGGAUAACUUCAGGAAACUGGGGCUAAUACCGGAUAGGAGCUCCUGCUGCAUGGUGGGGGUUGGAAAGUUUCGGCGGUUGGGGAUGGACUCGCGGCUUAUCAGCUUGUUGGUGGGGUAGUGGCUUACCAAGGCUUUGACGGGUAGCCGGCCUGAGAGGGUGACCGGCCCACUUGGGACUAGGGACCGGCCCAGGCUCCAAGGGGGGGCAGCAGUGGGGAAAUUUCGAAAAGGGGCGGAAGCCUGAGGCCGCACCGCCGCGUGCGGAAUGACGGCCUUCGGGUUGUAAACCGUUUUCGCCUGAGACGAAGCGGGGGUGACGGGAAUGGGUAAAGAAGCAGCGGCUAACUGCGU